RNAcentral lists this long non-coding RNA (771 nucleotides) under Marmota monax (woodchuck). Lineage: Eukaryota; Metazoa; Chordata; Mammalia; Rodentia; Sciuridae. The record is from RNAcentral.
CUCACCUCAGGUGGGGACUGGGCUUGGCUCCCUUGGCUUCAGCCUCUCCAGCAGCAGUUCAGUGGAAGGAAGCUCUGUGGAUACACCUCAGAUCCUCCAGCAGGCACCCUGACCGAACUACAAUGCAGUGCUUACUUGAUAAUGACAUCACUUGUCUCUAUGCUCAGAUGGUUUCAUGAGACAAAGCACAAGAAAACAAAGUUCCAGGAUACAUUGGCCACCCCUACCAUACUCCCUUCCCACCUUGUCUACAUGUUCUCUUUUUUCUUAAUUUUUUCAAGGAACUAUGGAAAAGUAUUUGAGCCUACUUUCUCUCCCUUAACUUUCACCAUGUCUUAAUACAAAUGAAAAUUUCACUUUCAUCACCAAAGGCUGAUAGAGUUUAUUAUUUUUUAAUAAUUAAAAUGAAAAUAUCAUGCAUAAGCAACAGUUCUGUAGGUAUUAGGUGUUCGAAAUUAUAAUUAAUGGUGCUAUUGUUUGAGGCCGUUUUGAACUUAAUAACUCAUCAUCAUCAUCAUCAUCACCAUCAACCUCAUCAUCACCAUCUCCAUCGCCAUCUCCAUCACCAUCACCACCACCAUCACCACCAUCACCAUCACCACCAUCACCAUCACCACCAUCACCAUCAUCAUCACCAUUAUCACCAUCACCAUUACCAUCAUCAUCACCACCAUCACCAUGAUCAUCAUCAUCACCAUCACCAUCAUCAUCACAAGGCAAAAAUGGCACAGCGGAAGGGCAUGGGUUUUGGAGUGGAAAUGACACUUAUCC